GAUGACUUUUGUUCUGAAUUACUUGUAUUAUCUUCAAAGCAUUCUGUCAAAUGGAAAAACUAAUCAUAUAUGAGAGAGGGCACAGUUGGGGAACAGACACAAUAUCAACAAGCAGAGUAUUUUAGCAGACCUUGUUCAUAAACAGGUGCUUUCUUUCUCAAAUGACUUCUCCAGUAGUUCUUGAUUUCAUUAUCAGUUCUUCCAGGCAAUUGUUUUGCAAUCUUUGACCACCUAUAACAUUGAUAAAACUUUAGUACUAAUAAGCCAAAGCGGAAAAAUCUUUAGCCUUGAAAUGCUGAAGAUAAAAUUCCAUAAAUAAAAAGUAUAUCUCCUCUAACAGCUUAAACUUUGAGAUAAGAUGAUCACAACUCAAUGUGGUAUUAAAGUAGGCAGAAUUUCAUAUAUCCUUAAAAGCUUUGUUGUUGUGCAUCUUAAAAGGUUCUAAUAGAGAAGAAAAUAAGCCUACUUGUUCCCAAACUGUUUCUGAAGUCGGAUUAUCAAACGUUCUUCAUCUGCAGUAAUAUGACCGUGCUUUAGAUUUGGGCGGAGGUAGUUCAGCCAUCGCAAUCUGCAGCUUUUCCCGCUCCUCUUCAACCCUGCAUGGUAGCAUAUUUAAACAGAGUUAUUCUACGCCCACUAACUCUUGAUUCUGAAAUCACCUCUGACUCGUGCCAGUACGAAGUUAACAUUGUGUAUAUGCUAAUCAUACCUGAAUCUUUUGCUAAUGCAUCCCAACGACGUUCACCUGAAAUGGCUACAAUCAUAGCCAGUCUCUCAUCUUCCUCUUCAAGCCACUGCCCUCUUCGAAGUUCCUCUUCUUGCAUGGUUAACUGAGAAGACAUUAGUGAACCAUUUAUGGUUGCCACAACAUAAGAGAGUUACCUUAUAUAGGAUGAGCCAAGGUGGCAAAUUGUAUUAGGAUAAAAAGAGAAAAAGAGUAAGCAGAAGAUCUUACCUGGCAAAAUAGGUGGAAAAACAUCAGUUUAUAAUGGAAUACCAGCACCAUCAUAAUAGAUAAUUCAUCUUUUUAAGGCUUACCAUUGGGUCAGCAAUGGAUUUAUGAAUCUUAUGUGCAUAAAGAGUGGAGUUCUAUCUCCCUUUUACAUCACCAUUUUUGGUACAGUACACCAAGGUUGUCUGCUUAACACUACACUGUGGGCAUAAAGGUUUUGUCUCAUUCAUCACAAUAAUAUAAACUAUAAGAACUUUAAUAAGGCAUGUGCUUACUUAGAAAACUCAAGAUAAGCAUGAGGAUUUGAUCCAAUAUAUGCAUCUCUUGUGGGGGCAACAAAAUCUUAUUGUGCUUCACAGCUUUCUCCAUUGAAUUGAGACACAAGACAAGUUGAAUUUUACCACUAUACUGUAUAAACUGCUCACUUUGAAAGACCUGUAAAGACAGCCCCCAGCUUUCAAAAAAAAAAAAUGGAAAGCUUGGAUCACCUUAAUUAAUAGUUUCGCCAGUACAUUGUAUCGGGCAACACAUUGUUUACCAUGUACUAACACUCUUUGCUUCAACUGCUUGUUUUUCUUUCUUAGUGGCAACAUGGUGUUAGGAUCAGCAAGUGCGUACCUCGACUAUUCCACCAGGUACAUCCAACCAGGACAACGCAAAGCAGUGUACAAGGAUUGAUUUGGCAAGAUAACACUUGCUCUACCACUAUUCUCAUCCUCAUUUAACAGUCAAUACAUGACAAAAGUAAGUUUCUCUAUGUAGGUCUUCAUUGAGAUUUCUUACUUUUUCCUUGUAAGCAAGAAAAACGUACUGUAGAUUCAUCUACCAAUGUCCACGAUGAAAAGUUGAGCUUGUAAUGAGAAGAUACCAUAGGAUCAUUGAAUUGCCACAAAAUUUCCAAGCUAUGUAACUUAAGAAGUAAUUAAACUUUUUCAAAAAGCCACAACUCAAUGUAGCUGUCAAAUGUACAAUAGAUUUCAAGUUUGAUAAUACAACGGAACUUCCUUAUUUAAGCAACAUUUGUAGUAGGAUUUAACUGAACCGCUGAUCUCUAUAAUAAUCUUCAUUAGUUUUUGACAAGCC
RNAcentral lists this long non-coding RNA (2035 nucleotides) under Capsicum annuum. RNAcentral's name for it is "long non-coding RNA (CANN_LNC016419)". Lineage: Eukaryota; Viridiplantae; Streptophyta; Magnoliopsida; Solanales; Solanaceae. The record is from RNAcentral.